CCAACGUCAACGUCAACACCAACGUCAACAUCAACACCAACACCAACAUCAACAUCAGCUUCAACAUCAACAUCAGCAUCAACGUCAACAUCAACACCAACACCAACAUCGGCAUCGAUGUCUAUGCGGCUACCCCACGUGACGGUCACGCCUCUGCUACAGACAGUGUUGCUUGAAAGCAGCGAUAAGGGCAUAUAUUUAACGGCCCCAAAUACAGACAGAAAUGGACAUACAGGAAAAAAAGAACAUCCAUAAGACAGAUGACUGACACGGCAUCUUCACGACCGUCAGCUUGUGGUAGCUUCUACCGCCUUCCAGACGACACGUCAAUCAUCAGCACUACCUGCAUGAAGUGGGACAAUGAUAAUAACCGAUGGGCAGGAAACUCCGAAGACGCACUAGUCAAGGAUUUGAUCCAGAUGAAAGACUAUAGCGGAAAUGAACACAAACUUGGCAUGAUUAAAGGGGAUAUUUACUGUGGCACGGGAAGUUACAAUUUCAACAAUGCUACCUGGGCAGUAUAUUACAGAUAGAUGGCAGACUAGAGAGGAAGCAGAAAUUUGUACUCCUUUAUUACCUCACUUCCUUUUUUUACGGUUCCUUUUUUUAAUUUCAUUAUUAAGGAAUGGUUGAAUACUAGCCCAAUGCUAAGCAAGGGAGCGGUCAUUUGUUAGAAUAAUUGAUAAAGCUGACUGUUAAUUUGGUAUAACAUUUUUGGUUUGACGAGGAAAAUUUAUCCAAGGGCUCCCGACAUCAAAUACACAGUACUUAAUAAGAUCUAAAAUAACAAUGUUUCUAUUUACUUCUUUUUCGCUAUUGGCAAUAUAGCAUGAAUUGCCUUUCUGUAAUGUGUUAUGUACGUGAGUCGUAUACAAAACCUUUUAUAAAAAUAAUAUUAUAAAAUAUGAUCUAUUAAAGCAUGCUUUGCAAAUACCCCCAA
RNA transcript from Nematostella vectensis (starlet sea anemone), 940 nucleotides. RefSeq lists it as uncharacterized. NCBI's taxonomy places the organism in Eukaryota, Metazoa, Cnidaria, Anthozoa, Actiniaria, Edwardsiidae. The record is from RefSeq and is a predicted model, not a curated record. The transcript is spliced from 3 exons.